UAUUGGACAACGGGGGCAACCCUGAUCCAGCAAUGCCGCGUGUGUGAAGAAGGCCUGAGGGUUGUAAAGCACUUUCAGUGGGGAGGAGGUUACUUAGGUUAAGAGCUAGAGUAAUGGACGUUACCCACAGAAGAAGCACCGGCUAACUCCGUGCCAGCAGCCGCGGUAAUACGGAGGGUGCAAGCGUUAAUCGGAAUUACUGGGCGUAAAGGGUGCGUAGGUGGUUUGUUAAGUUAUCUGUGAAAUCCCUGGGCUCAACCUGGGCAGGUCAGAUAAUACUGAUAGACUCGAGUAUAGGAGAGGGUAGUGGAAUUUCCGGUGUAGCGGUGAAAUGCGUAGAGAUCGGAAGGAACACCAGGGCGAAGGCGGCUACCUGCCUAAUACGACACUGAGGCACGAAA
Molecule: ribosomal RNA, 401 nt
Filed under: uncultured bacterium
Lineage: Bacteria
Description: bacterial SSU rRNA
Rfam family: Bacterial small subunit ribosomal RNA
Source: RNAcentral